RNAcentral lists this ribosomal RNA (1000 nucleotides) under Isoptericola sp. EGI 80007. RNAcentral describes it as "bacterial SSU rRNA". It matches the Rfam family "Bacterial small subunit ribosomal RNA", at positions 32 to 1048 of the family's 1533-position model. The record is from RNAcentral. Lineage: Bacteria; Bacillati; Actinomycetota; Actinomycetes; Micrococcales; Promicromonosporaceae.
AGUCAUGGCGGGGUGCUUUACACAUGCAGUCGAACGGUGAAGCUCAGCUUGCUGGGUGGAUCAGUGGCGAACGGGUGAGUAACACGUGAGCAACCUGCCCUCCACUUCGGGAUAAGCCUUGGAAACGGGGUCUAAUACCGGAUAUGAGCGCCUGCCGCAUGGUGGGUGUUGGAAAGUUUUUCGGUGGGGGAUGGGCUCGCGGCCUAUCAGCUUGUUGGUGGGGUGAUGGCCUACCAAGGCUUCGACGGGUAGCCGGCCUGAGAGGGCGACCGGCCACACUGGGACUGAGACACGGCCCAGACUCCUACGGGAGGCAGCAGUGGGGAAUAUUGCACAAUGGGCGAAAGCCUGAUGCAGCGACGCCGCGUGAGGGAUGACGGCCUUCGGGUUGUAAACCUCUUUCAGCAGGGAAGAAGCGCAAGUGACGGUACCUGCAGAAGAAGCGCCGGCUAACUACGUGCCAGCAGCCGCGGUAAUACGUAGGGCGCAAGCGUUGUCCGGAAUUAUUGGGCGUAAAGAGCUCGUAGGCGGUUUGUCGCGUCUGGUGUGAAAUCCCGAGGCUCAACCUCGGGCUUGCAUCGGGUACGGGCAGACUAGAGUGCGGUAGGGGAGACUGGAAUUCCUGGUGUAGCGGUGGAAUGCGCAGAUAUCAGGAGGAACACCGAUGGCGAAGGCAGGUCUCUGGGCCGCAACUGACGCUGAGGAGCGAAAGCAUGGGGAGCGAACAGGAUUAGAUACCCUGGUAGUCCAUGCCGUAAACGUUGGGCACUAGGUGUGGGGCUCAUUCCACGAGUUCCGUGCCGCAGCUAACGCAUUAAGUGCCCCGCCUGGGGAGUACGGCCGCAAGGCUAAAACUCAAAGGAAUUGACGGGGGCCCGCACAAGCGGCGGAGCAUGCGGAUUAAUUCGAUGCAACGCGAAGAACCUUACCAAGGCUUGACAUGCACCGGAAACCGCCAGAGAUGGUGGCCCCGCAAGGUCGGUGCACAGGUGGUGCAUGG